Molecule: non-coding RNA, 21 nt
Filed under: Arabidopsis thaliana (thale cress)
Lineage: Eukaryota; Viridiplantae; Streptophyta; Magnoliopsida; Brassicales; Brassicaceae
Source: RNAcentral
UCAGAGGGACUACUGACUCUA